CGGGGUGAGUAACGGCGUGGGUAACCUGCCUCAUACAGGGGGAUAACAGUUAGAAAUGACUAGCUAAAACCGCAUAAGCGCACAUUGUCGAGUGGCAGAGUGUGAAAAACUCCGGUGGUAUGAGAUGGACCCGCGUCUGAUUAGCUAGUUGGUGAGGUAACGGCCCACCAAGGCGACGAUCAGUAGCCGGCCUGAGAGGGCGACCGGCCACAUUGGGACUGAGACACGGCCCAAACUCCUACGGAAGGCAGCAG
RNAcentral lists this ribosomal RNA (254 nucleotides) under uncultured bacterium. RNAcentral describes it as "partial 16S ribosomal RNA". It matches the Rfam family "Bacterial small subunit ribosomal RNA", at positions 100 to 354 of the family's 1533-position model. The record is from RNAcentral.